GCGUUGAUGGUGUAGUGGUAGCAUUGUCGCUCUUCAAACCGCCGCUAGUCCAGUUGGACCAGCGGUGGAUCCUCGCGACAACCCAGGUUCAAGUCCUGGUCAACGCC
Molecule: non-coding RNA, 107 nt
Organism: Mycena floridula
Lineage: Eukaryota; Fungi; Basidiomycota; Agaricomycetes; Agaricales; Mycenaceae
Source: the annotation of a GenBank genome assembly